RNAcentral lists this ribosomal RNA (1672 nucleotides) under metagenome. Its description in RNAcentral is "bacterial LSU rRNA". It matches the Rfam family "Bacterial large subunit ribosomal RNA", at positions 1273 to 2925 of the family's 2925-position model. The record is from RNAcentral.
CUGGAGGUAUCAGAAGUGCGAAUGCUGACAUAAGUAACGAUAAAGCGGGUGAAAAGCCCGCUCGCCGGAAGACCAAGGGUUCCUGUCCAACGUUAAUCGGGGCAGGGUGAGUCGACCCCUAAGGCGAGGCCGAAAGGCGUAGUCGAUGGGAAACAGGUUAAUAUUCCUGUACUUGGUGUUACUGCGAAGGGGGGACGGAGAAGGCUAUGUUGGCCGGGCGACGGUUGUCCCGGUUUAAGCGUGUAGGCUGGUUUUCCAGGCAAAUCCGGAAAAUCAAGGCUGAGGCGUGAUGACGAGGCACUACGGUGCUGAAGCAACAAAUGCCCUGCUUCCAGGAAAAGCCUCUAAGCAUCAGGUAACAUCAAAUCGUACCCCAAACCGACACAGGUGGUCAGGUAGAGAAUACCAAGGCGCUUGAGAGAACUCGGGUGAAGGAACUAGGCAAAAUGGUGCCGUAACUUCGGGAGAAGGCACGCUGAUAUGUAGGUGAAGUCCCUCGCGGAUGGAGCUGAAAUCAGUCGAAGAUACCAGCUGGCUGCAACUGUUUAUUAAAAACACAGCACUGUGCAAACACGAAAGUGGACGUAUACGGUGUGACGCCUGCCCGGUGCCGGAAGGUUAAUUGAUGGGGUUAGCGCAAGCGAAGCUCUUGAUCGAAGCCCCGGUAAACGGCGGCCGUAACUAUAACGGUCCUAAGGUAGCGAAAUUCCUUGUCGGGUAAGUUCCGACCUGCACGAAUGGCGUAAUGAUGGCCAGGCUGUCUCCACCCGAGACUCAGUGAAAUUGAACUCGCUGUGAAGAUGCAGUGUACCCGCGGCAAGACGGAAAGACCCCGUGAACCUUUACUAUAGCUUGACACUGAACAUUGAGCCUUGAUGUGUAGGAUAGGUGGGAGGCUUUGAAGUGUGGACGCCAGUCUGCAUGGAGCCGACCUUGAAAUACCACCCUUUAAUGUUUGAUGUUCUAACGUUGACCCGUGAUCCGGGUUGCGGACAGUGUCUGGUGGGUAGUUUGACUGGGGCGGUCUCCUCCUAAAGAGUAACGGAGGAGCACGAAGGUUGGCUAAUCCUGGUCGGACAUCAGGAGGUUAGUGCAAUGGCAUAAGCCAGCUUGACUGCGAGCGUGACGGCGCGAGCAGGUGCGAAAGCAGGUCAUAGUGAUCCGGUGGUUCUGAAUGGAAGGGCCAUCGCUCAACGGAUAAAAGGUACUCCGGGGAUAACAGGCUGAUACCGCCCAAGAGUUCAUAUCGACGGCGGUGUUUGGCACCUCGAUGUCGGCUCAUCACAUCCUGGGGCUGAAGUAGGUCCCAAGGGUAUGGCUGUUCGCCAUUUAAAGUGGUACGCGAGCUGGGUUUAGAACGUCGUGAGACAGUUCGGUCCCUAUCUGCCGUGGGCGCUGGAGAAUUGAGGGGGGCUGCUCCUAGUACGAGAGGACCGGAGUGGACGCAUCACUGGUGUUCGGGUUGUCAUGCCAAUGGCACUGCCCGGUAGCUAAAUGCGGAAGAGAUAAGUGCUGAAAGCAUCUAAGCACGAAACUUGCCCCGAGAUGAGUUCUCCCUGACUCCUUGAGAGUCCUGAAGGAACGUUGAAGACGACGACGUUGAUAGGCCGGGUGUGUAAGCGCAGCGAUGCGUUGAGCUAACCGGUACUAAUGAACCGUGAGGCUUAACCUU